This is a long non-coding RNA of Oncorhynchus keta (chum salmon), 1571 nucleotides long. RefSeq lists it as uncharacterized. NCBI's taxonomy places the organism in Eukaryota, Metazoa, Chordata, Actinopteri, Salmoniformes, Salmonidae. The transcript has 3 exons. The record is from RefSeq and is a predicted model, not a curated record.
UGGGAACCUUAUUUGUUGUUUUUAUUCAAUUCAGUUGGUAUGAGAACGGUAGCCCCUAUCUGCAAAAGCAGGGCGUCUGUGGAAAGCUGAGUAUCUUGGCUAUUGAUCUGUGCCUUAACAGUUUUGGUCUGACUUACUACCAUAUAUGGGCAUACAAAUAUAUAAGGCCAGGCCGAGCCGAUGACCUAAUUUUAAGGUUUUUCGACGGUGACAUUCCGAGGGGUUCGUGCUGACUGUGCGGAGAUUGUGACAUCUGGUUAAACUGCAUCCCUUGACAAGGCAAGAACAAGAUGACUGGAGAAGUGCAGUAUUAUCAUAAGGAGACGUAUACUUGGAAUAUGUUGGAGGAAUGGAGGGAAAAAGAGAGGCAGAGGACGUCUGAGAGAGAGAGAGAGAGGGGAAGAGGGAUGUUGAACUUUUUUUAUGUGCUUAAGUUGAGUCUCCUUCAGUUUCCCAAUGAUGUCUAAGAGCAAAAAAACAUAAUCCAGUGGCCAUUUGCUCAGAUAUCCCCUGUCAAGACCCUUGGAUCAGAGGGACAAGGACUAUGACUCCUUCACUUCCACCUUUCACUUUGAGAACCCUCUAUUUCCCCCUCACCGCACCCCCAAACCUGUCCCUCCUCCACUGCUCCGACCCACACCACCACCCCCAGACGAGGACCCAUACAGGCCCAUUAAGCCCCCUAAUAACUCUGAUCUCUCUGUCCCUCCUUUCAAAGGCGCUGUCCAACCUAUCACAGGUAUUGUGUAUAUAUAUCCUCCCUGUUUUCUUAGUGGAAACUGUGAUCUCUUAUGUGGCCCUCUGCCCUUCCCCCCACCAGCCCUAGCCCUGUGCACCCAACCCUCAGACUCCACACGUGGGGACACAGACCAUGGUGUGCCCAUACAACGAAACGGAAUCCCGAGCAGCCCGGAGUAUUCAUUCUGCCCUCUGCCCCCAGUGGCCAACCAGACAGAUUGGCCCCCAUCCCGCCCUGUAACCCAUAUUUGUACUUCCUUCAGGACAGAGCACAAACACGAGGGCGGAGGCAGCAGAGGGACUUCCUGGACCCAUCUUUGUAUUCCCAUCUGAGGUGGCCACUGGGAUGGGCAACAGUGGGGUUAACAUGUUGUCUCCUCCCCUACGACCUGACUCUGUUCCUCCUCCCAUCCUCAUUUACCCUGGUGUUUUUAUUCCCAUCAUAGGAGAACUUCAGACAUAGAUAAUCGCCUGCUGAGAUUCAGACUUCACUGAUUCAAAGUAGUUUUCCCCAGUUCACUCCACAGAUACCCAGCUACUUUUGUAUUGAAAGUAGCUGGAGAUUAAACUAAAUAAAUGUAUAAUGCUGACUAUUAUAUAACAAUCCACACUGUCAAUUGUUGGGUCUUUCUAUACUUAAUGCAUAUUUCUGUUUACCAUUGGAUGUAAAACAAUUAUCUGCAAUAAAUGAAUAAAACUUGUGUGUUGCGAUUUUACAGCGUAUCUGUGCACAUUUUGGGAAGAAAUACUACCAUUUAAUUAAUGAAUAUUAGAUAAUGGCAUUUUAAUGUGCAGCAUGAUUGUCGCUUCUCUGCUUCAGGAAAAUGUGUAUU